AAACUCAAAGGAAUUGACGGGGGCCCGCGCAAGCGGCGGAGCAUGCGGAUUAAUUCGAUGCAACGCGAAGAACCUUACCAAGGCUUGACAUACACCUGACGCAGCCAGAGAUGGUUGUUCCGUAAGGCGGGYGUACAGGUGGUGCAUGGUUGUCGUCAGCUCGUGUCGUGAGCUGUUGGGUUAAGUCCCGCAACGAGCGCAACCCUUGUCUCGUGUUGCCAGCGGGUUAUGCCGGGGACUCAUGAGAGACUGCCGGGGUCAACUCGGAGGAAGGUGGGGAUGACGUCAAAUCAUCAUGCCCCUUAUGUCUUGGGCUUCACGCAUGCUACAAUGACCGGUACAGAGGGUUGCGAUCCCGUGAGGGGGAGCGAAUCCCAAAAAGCCGGUCUCAGUUCGGAUUGGGGUCUGCAACUCGACCCCAUGAAGUCGGAGUCGCUAGUAAUCGCAGAUCAGCAACGCUGCGGUGAAUACGUUCUCGGGCCUUGUACACACCGCCCGU
RNAcentral lists this ribosomal RNA (499 nucleotides) under unidentified anaerobic bacterium. RNAcentral describes it as "bacterial SSU rRNA". It matches the Rfam family "Bacterial small subunit ribosomal RNA", at positions 897 to 1397 of the family's 1533-position model. The record is from RNAcentral.